UACGUAGGGUGCAAGCGUUAAUCGGAAUUACUGGGCGUAAAGCGUGCGCAGGCGGUUGUGCAAGACCGAUGUGAAAUCCCCGGGCUUAACCUGGGAAUGGCAUUGGUGACUGCACGGCUAGAGUGUGUCAGAGGGGGGUAGAAUUCCACGUGUAGCAGUGAAAUGCGUAGAGAUGUGGAGGAAUACCGAUGGCGAAGGCAGCCCCCUGGGAUAACACUGACGUUCAUGCACGAAAGCGUGGGGGGCAAACAGG
Molecule: ribosomal RNA, 253 nt
Filed under: uncultured bacterium
Lineage: Bacteria
Description: partial 16S ribosomal RNA
Rfam family: Bacterial small subunit ribosomal RNA
Source: RNAcentral